RNAcentral lists this ribosomal RNA (253 nucleotides) under uncultured prokaryote. RNAcentral's name for it is "partial 16S ribosomal RNA". It matches the Rfam family "Bacterial small subunit ribosomal RNA", at positions 524 to 776 of the family's 1533-position model. The record is from RNAcentral.
UACGAAGGGGGCUAGCGUUGCUCGGAAUCACUGGGCGUAAAGCGCACGUAGGCGGCUUGUUAAGUCAGGGGUGAAAUCCUGGAGCUCAACUCCAGAACUGCCUUUGAUACUGGCGAGCUGGAGCGCGGUAGAGGAGGGUGGAAUUCCUGGUGUAGCGGUGAAAUGCGUAGAUAUCAGGAGGAACACCGGCGGCGAAGGCGGCCCUCUGGACCGUUGCUGACGCUGAGACGCGAAAGCGUGGGGAGCAAACAGG